RNAcentral lists this long non-coding RNA (279 nucleotides) under Pogona vitticeps (central bearded dragon). RNAcentral's name for it is "lncRNA (ENSPVIG00000003572.1)". Lineage: Eukaryota; Metazoa; Chordata; Lepidosauria; Squamata; Agamidae. The record is from RNAcentral.
GGGUUAAAGUCAUGCUGAGGCCCGGAUUUCUCAUGGCUACGUUGCUGGCUGUGGUGUCGGUCACGGGGUGUCCCAUAGUGGGUCGUCGACUUGUACUUUGGGAGGUCUGGACGGCAAAGCUAUACCAAAUGUCACCAAAUGAAUGAGGAGCAUAUGCAUAUCAUGGAAGAUAGAGGAGGAGAACCCAAUAUGUGGGAAUGGAGUACAGUAUCAACAAGCUUCAGGAGCAGCCACUAAAAGCAGUUCAUAUAUGUAAGGAUCUGCUAUGCCUCCCUUCUG